GGGCCUGUAGUUCAGUGGUAGAACGCCGCGUUCGCAUCGCGGAAGUCGGCGGUUCAAAUCCGCCCGGGUCCA
This 72-nucleotide transfer RNA is filed under the name Candidatus Nealsonbacteria bacterium RBG_13_38_11. RNAcentral describes it as "tRNA-Ala". It matches the Rfam family "tRNA". Rfam says of the family: Transfer RNA (tRNA) molecules are approximately 80 nucleotides in length. Their secondary structure includes four short double-helical elements and three loops (D, anti-codon, and T loops). Further hydrogen bonds mediate the characteristic L-shaped molecular structure. tRNAs have two regions of fundamental functional importance: the anti-codon, which is responsible for specific mRNA codon recognition, and the 3' end, to which the tRNAs corresponding amino acid is attached (by aminoacyl-tRNA synthetases). tRNAs cope with the degeneracy of the genetic code in two manners: having more than one tRNA (with a specific anti-codon) for a particular amino acid; and 'wobble' base-pairing, i.e. permitting non-standard base-pairing at the 3rd anti-codon position. Lineage: Bacteria; Candidatus Nealsoniibacteriota. RNAcentral also lists the same sequence under 1 other name. The record is from RNAcentral.